RNAcentral lists this long non-coding RNA (2014 nucleotides) under Homo sapiens (human). RNAcentral describes it as "HSALNT0030865". The record is from RNAcentral. Lineage: Eukaryota; Metazoa; Chordata; Mammalia; Primates; Hominidae.
CCCAGCACUUUGGGAGGCCGAGGUGGGCGGAUCCCUUGACGUCAGGAGUUUGAGACCACUCUGGCCAACAUGGUGAAACCCUGUCUCUACUAAAAAUAUAAAAUUUAGCUGGGCGUGGUGGUGCGUGCCUGUAAUCCCAGCUACUCCAGAAGCUGAGGCAAGAGAAUCGCUUGAACCCAGGAGGCGGAGGUUGCAGUGAGCCAAGAUCACACCACUGCACUCCAGCCUGGGUGAGCGACAGAGGGAGACUCGGAGUUGCAAAGACAGAAAAAAGAAAAUGGAAACCAAAAUGAGCCUUGAAAAAUUAGUAAGACUGGAUUAAAAAGGAGAGAAGACAGCAUGCAAGGGAAAAGUACUUAAGCUGACUGGAUGACAAGAGGACUUCAUGACGAAAGAAGAAGUUGCUUUCAAGGUGGAGAAUUCCCAAAUCACUAAACUGCCUAUUACAAUACUAUCCUGAGACAGGGAAGUGAAAGGUCUUGGUCCUGGAAGAGCCCUGCCACGCCCCCUGUGAAGUCACUGGCCCAAAGGUGGGCCAGGAAACACAUUUCCACUCCUUUACACAGUGAGUUGCCCCAGAAAUGUGAGUGUGAAGCCAUGUUGGUUCUAUCAGCCCCAGCUGAGGUCUCAGAUGAAAGCAGCCACCUGAGUGAUCCCAGAUGACAACACAUGGCGAAGAAGGACUGCCCAGCUAAACCCGCCUGCCACACAGAAUUGUGAGAAAUGAUAAAUUGUUAAGUCAUUAAAUUUUGGGGUUGUUUGUCAUGCAGCAAUACGUAAUUGAAACACAGUUAUAAUACUGAAGGCAAUGAGUUAGACUCUGUGGAAAAGGUAAUACUAAAUAGAAGAGAUGCUGAUAACAAGGAGCACACGAUUUACCUUUACUAUAUUGAUUCUCUCAUAGUUCUAGAAGUCAGAAGUCUGAAAUCAGUAUCAAGGGUAUCAAAAUCAAAGUGUCAGCAAGGUACCUCUAGAGACUCUACAGCAGAAUCCCAUCUUGAUCUCUUCCACCUGCUGGUGGCUGUCAGUAUUUCUUGGCUUAUAGCUGCGUAUUAGUCCGUUUUCAUGCUGCUAUGAAGAAAUACCCGAGACUGAAUAAUUUGUAAAGAAAAGAGGUUUAAUUGACUCACAGUUCUGCAUGGCUGGGGAGGCCUCAGGAAAUUUACAAUCAUGGUGGAAGACACCUCUUCACAGGGCAGCAGGAGAGAGAAUAAGAGCCAAGCAAAGGGAGAAAAGCCCCUUAUAAAACCAUCACCCCCCAUGAUUCAAUUACCUCCCACCAGUUCCGUCCUACGAUGCAUGGGGAUUAAGGGAACUACAAUUCAAGAUGAGAUUUGGAUGGGGUCACAGCCAAAUCAUAUCAAGCCAAACCAUAUCAAACCAUAUCUAUAUUACUCCAAUCUCUGUCACUGUGGUCAUACUCUUUUCUUCUGUCUCCCAAAUCUCCCUCUGCCUCCUUUGUAUAGGCAAUUUCAUUAGGGCCCACCCAGCUAAGCCAAGAUAAUCAUCACCCCAACUCAAGAUUCUUAAUCACAUCUACAAAGAUCCCCUUUCCCUUACAAGAUAGCAUUUAUAGAUUCUGGGAAUUAGGAUCUGAGAUCUUUGAAGGGCCAUUAAUCUGCCUGUCACAAAUGCUAAAACACAAGAGUUAAGGCACUGCAAAAACUGAUUAUAGGAAUUGGAGUUAUUCCUGUCAUAUCCAAGCAAAUCAGAGUCAAGGAACCCAGGGAAAAAGCACUCAGGACACAAAGUGCCAGCUCCAGGAACUGUCUCACAAGCCCAGCUGCUGAAAUAACCUCCCAUAGCCUUAAGACUAGUUUUACCUAGUAGCUGCUGAAACGACCUGUAAUUUAAUGAACUUUGUUUCAAAACAUUUUAUGUAAUAUUUCUCUUUCCCAGUAAAAUCCCAACAUUUCCUUUGUACUUUGGACAUACCAAAAACCACUCUGGUCUUUGCAUAUAUCCCAAUUUACAAUUCUGUUUUUAUAUAUAUAUAUUCCUAAAUAAAACUUUC